AAUAGAUACCCUGGUAGUCCACGCCGUAAACGUUGGGCGCUAGGUGUGGGGGCCAUUCCACGGUCUCCGUGCCGCAGCUAACGCAUUAAGCGCCCCGCCUGGGGAGUACGGCCGCAAGGCUAAAACUCAAAGGAAUUGACGGGGGCCCGCACAAGCGGCGGAGCAUGUUGCUUAAUUCGAUGCAACGCGAAGAACCUUACCUAGGCUUGACAUGCACGGAAAUCUCGCAGAGAUGCGGGGUGCCUUUGGCGUCGUGCACAGGUGGUGCAUGGUUGUCGUCAGCUCGUGUCGUGAGAUGUUGGGUUAAGUCCCGCAACGAGCGCAACCCUCGUUCCAUGUUGCCAGCACGUAAUGGUGGGGACUCAUGGGAGACUGCCGGGGUCAACUCGGAGGAAGGUGGGGAUGACGUCAAAUCAUCAUGCCCCUUAUGUCUAGGGCUGCAAACAUGCUACAAUGGCCGGUACAAAGGGCUGCGAUACCGUGAGGUGGAGCGAAUCCCAAAAAGCCGGUCUCAGUUCGGA
RNAcentral lists this ribosomal RNA (521 nucleotides) under uncultured bacterium. RNAcentral's name for it is "bacterial SSU rRNA". It matches the Rfam family "Bacterial small subunit ribosomal RNA", at positions 777 to 1297 of the family's 1533-position model. The record is from RNAcentral.